Small nuclear RNA from Otolemur garnettii (small-eared galago), 141 nucleotides. Its record names the gene U4. It matches the Rfam family "U4 spliceosomal RNA". From Rfam's summary of the family: U4 small nuclear RNA (U4 snRNA) is a component of the major U2-dependent spliceosome. The record is from Ensembl. NCBI's taxonomy places the organism in Eukaryota, Metazoa, Chordata, Mammalia, Primates, Galagidae.
AGCUUUGCACAGGGGCAGUAUCGUAGCCAAUGAGGUUUCUUCGAGGUGCAAUUGACUAUCGGUGAUUGAGCCUUUCCUUACUGCCCUGUGACGACUUGCAAUAUAGUCAGCAAUGGCAAUUUUGGACAGUCUCUCCAGAGA